Molecule: long non-coding RNA, 1532 nt
Organism: Phragmites australis (common reed)
Lineage: Eukaryota; Viridiplantae; Streptophyta; Magnoliopsida; Poales; Poaceae
Exons: 2
Source: RefSeq, a predicted model, not a curated record
UCCCCCCUGAUCUUAUCUGUAUUGUCACGACAGUGUUACAUUAAAAGGAUAUCUCCUACCGGAUGAAGAUUUUUUUAUUGGGUGCAUACAGAACAUCUCCUCCUAAAUAUAGUAACAUUUACUACUGAAUAUACAUCAGCUCCGAGGGAUCUCUUUGGCCCUAGUAGUAGGAUGGCUACCUGACAGAUUAACAUCGCAGGGGGUGGCUGAUCUUCGGGCCAUCUGUGAGAGACUUGUUCAUCGUGGCCUGCCAUCGACUGACAACGCGACCGCCAUACUGGUUCAGCUCAAGCACGCCGGAGGGCUUCAUGUCCUGACCGAGUCCGACAACGAGGACGACGGCGACGACAACGCCCCCCUGGACACCGUAGUGGAAGAUGAGGGGGGUCAAUCAGGGAAGAGCAGGCCCUGAUGGGCGAUGAGAUCAGGGAAGAUUUGCAAGAGAAGAAAGCUCCUGGGAUUUGCAAGUUUGCUACAGUGCUGGUUUUCUUUUUCCUCUUCCACAGCUUAGGAUGUACGCGUACUCUAGUAAUGCUGCAGCCUGGGUACGUUCCAGAGGAGAUUUUACUUGAGAGCCACUUGAAUUCACGCGCAUUUGUUUUUCAGAUCUUUGAACCCUGAAGAUGGUUAACCGAGUUAGUAAUGCACUUCGUAAAUUCGUCAUUCCGUUAAGAACUUGUAUGCGUUAACAUGCAGUAUGCUGUGUCUGAUCAUCUCCCAUGCCUGAAGUGCGUUUCGUAACGAAGCGAAGCUGGCAAUUGCCAGAAGGGAGUCUGAACUUUUCCUUACGGAUCGAUGAUCUGAACCUGAUACUGGGCUCGGACGACUGCCAGCAGCCGCUGGCCGACGGCACACGACAUCCUCUUGGCUCGAACAGACCACGUCUAUCGCAUCACCCUACAUUUUGCAAGCCCUCCUGCCCAUCGGGCAUUUCUAUCUUAUUAAUACAAAUCUGGCAGCUCUCCUGCCGGUUGCAUUAAAAAAAAAAACAUUUUGCAAGCCCGGCCGGGGACGCACGUUUGCAGAGCUGCGGAUCAGAUGGCCAUGCGGCAACGUGGAAAGGAAAGGGAGGAAAAGCUGCUUGCGAUCGCGUGAUGCACGGCGGUCAGAAUUGAGGCAGUACGAAUCCUACCUACGUGCAAUGGAAUUGCUCUGUUUGACAGACGUGGUAGGAUCUUGCUUGGUUUGACUAGAAUUAACCGGAUCUUAUUUGCACUUGCUCAAUUUAACCGAUGUUGUAGGGAAGAUUCGUUAUGUUUGUUCUCGUGAUUACGCAUAUUUUUUAUUUGUUCAUACUUGAUAGGUGGUGGAAAUGGCCAUGCUGGAUCUAUUGGGCAAGGGAUGUUGAAUCCUACAGAUUCUGACGCUUCCAUUUAGCUGUAUGUUUCUCUCUUCCAUAUGUUGACGCAGAAGCAAAAGAAAAGAUGCAUCUGAGGUAAUUGGCACAAUGGGAGCUGAGAUUUCUGUUUGCACAUUGCCUGAGCAAGUAACAUCUUAUUAUUUGGAUAUAAAGCAAAUGGAAUUUGUCCUUC